Molecule: ribosomal RNA, 422 nt
Filed under: uncultured bacterium
Lineage: Bacteria
Description: partial 16S ribosomal RNA
Source: RNAcentral
ACAGCGUGGACUACCAGGGUAUCUAAUCCUGUUUGCUACCCACGCUUUCGCGUCUCAGCGUCGGAAACGAGCCAGUUAGUCGCUUUCGCCACUGGUGUUCUUCCAAAUAUCUACGAAUUUCACCUCUACACUUGGAAUUCCACUAACCUCUCUCGAUCUCUAGCAUAAUAGUAUCAAAGGCAGUUCCUAAGUUAAGCUUAGGGAUUUCACCUCUGACUGAUUACACAGCCUACACGCCCUUUACGCCCAGUAAUUCCGAACAACGCUAGCUCCCUCCGUAUUACCGCGGCUGCUGGCACGGAAUUAGCCGUGGCUUAUUCCUCAAGUACCGUCAUAUCUUCUUCCUUGAGAAAAGAGGUUUACAGCCCAGAGGCCUUCGUCCCUCACGCGGCGUUGCUCCGUCAGGCUUUCGCCCAUUGCGG